AGCAAAUAAGGUGGUGUGGUGUUCUCCAGGUAAUGUUGAUUUUUAUGUUGCUUAUAUGGUCGCUUUAUUUAGUUUGGAAGGAAAAUGUAUUUACGUAGUAAUUUUCCAUAUUCUUUCAUGAGAAUUGCUUUUGCUUACCUAAUAAUGGCACUGGUGAAAAUCCUUACAGAACACACAAACCUAGGAACCUGUCUCCUGGCCGGUUUUCUAUGUUCAAGCUAUAUUGUUGGCACUGUUAAGUUUAUAUUUCCAUAUUUAAAAAUGAUUAUAUCACUGCCUAAUUUGUUCAUCAGUCUUCAGUGGUCCUGUUUCUAAAUUUUCAGGCUGGUGGGAGCAUGUGUACUUGUGGUUUACUUGUGUUUGAUCUAUGGGACUUGCGUCCCUGAUAAGCCCCUGGUCCCUUUAGUCUCACAAUGCUAUCUGAGAAAAUGCUGAUUCCCAUAAGUAAACAGCUGAACACUUUUAGCUAUGUCUGUGUAACAUCUGGAGCUGCUUUUAUUGGCUCAGCCAUCUAUGAUCUGGUGUACUGCUGUUGCAAAACCAUAAUUACCUUGGAUUUCUGACAUUUGAUGAGGAUUUAAGAGUUGCAAGCGAAGUAGUUCAACUAUAAAGUUAGCUUUCUACGAGGGUAGGGAUUCACAACUGCUUGUGAAUAUCAGAUUAUUCCACAUUCUGCAAAUGGGUCCAUAGCUCAGUGGUAGAGCAUUUGACUGCAGAUCAAGAGGUCACCGGUUCGAACCCGGUUGGGCCCUUUUUUUUAAUUUUUAAUUUUAUUCUUAAAUUUAAAUGCUCCGUUUUCCCUUGUGCAAAAAUUUAGUGUGGGUCGUAUUGAUGAUUGGCCAAUGAUUGGACAUGCACCGUGGAAUGGUUGCAAUCUGGCUGAUUAUGUUAAUGGCCUUCUUUCUGUUAGUACUUGUGAUGGCCUGAUUGCCAUUCCCCUUGCUCUUAAGGUCUCUUCACCUUUUUAUUUCGUUUCAUUUUGAUAGGAAGACAUUCUAAAAGAUUUGCAGCUAUAAAAUUCGUAUUUUUUUCCUUCAAAAUUACUUUUUAUUUUCUGUAGGGAAUAAUAAGCUGGGGUCAAGCUUUCAAAAAAGUGAUUUUCAGAACUCUAAAAUUCCUCCGGUUGAUUAUGAUUUGCACUUACUUGGCCUAUGUUUGUCCUUUGAUGUUAAUAUUACAUAGAAGUAAAAUAAUUAUUAGAAUGGAUCUCGUAGUGUCAUUUUCCAUCUCAAAAUGCCACGAGAAAUUUGAUUUCUUAUGCACAUUGUUGUUGUCAACCUGAGAAAAAUUAUCAUAAUGGAGUACUUUUAUAUUCGGAGCUUGAUUGUAAUGGAUAUUUAACAAAGAAAGAAGGAAACAAAUAAAGAAAACAACUUGUCUACACUCCCUUUCUUUGACAGUGAUUUGAUUUCAUUGUGUUAUGUAGGACGUUUUUCUUAUGGUCCUGACAAGCUGACUUAUGUUGUUGAUCAUGAAGCAAAUAAGGUGGUGUGGCGUUCUCCAGGUAAUGUUGAUUUUUAUGCUGCUUAUAUGGGCGCUUUAUUUAGUUUGGAAGGAAAAUGUAUUUACGUAGUAAUUUUCCAUAUUCUUUCAUGAGAAUUGCUUUUGCUUACCUAAUAAUGGCGCUGGUGAAAAUCCUUACAGAACACACAAACCUAGGAACCUGUCUCCUGGCCGGUUUUCUAUGUUCAAGCUAUAUUGUUGGUACUGUUAAGUUUAUAUUUCCAUAUUUAAAAAUGAUUAUAUCACUGCCUAAUUUGUUCAUCAGUCUUCAGUGGUCCUGUUUCUAAAUUUUCAGGCUGGUGGGAGCAUGUGUACUUGUGGUUUACUUGUGUUUGAUCUAUGGGACUUGCGUCCCUGAUAAGCCCCUGGUCCCUUUAGUCUCACAAUGCUAUCUGAGAAAAUGCUGAUUCCCAUAAGUAAACAGCUGAACACUUUUAGCUAUGUCUGUGUAACAUCUGGAGCUGCUUUUAUUGGCUCAGCCAUCUAUGAUCUGGUGUACUGCUGUUGCAAAACCAUAAUUAC
RNAcentral lists this long non-coding RNA (2025 nucleotides) under Manihot esculenta (cassava). Its description in RNAcentral is "long non-coding RNA (MESC_LNC005707)". The stretch from base 681 to 752 matches the Rfam family "tRNA". Lineage: Eukaryota; Viridiplantae; Streptophyta; Magnoliopsida; Malpighiales; Euphorbiaceae. The record is from RNAcentral.